GAUGAACGCUGGCGGCGUGCCUAAUACAUGCAAGUCGAGCGAACAGACGAGGAGCUUGCUCCUUUGAUGUUAGCGGCGGACGGGUGAGUAACACGUAGGUAACCUACCUAUAAGACUGGGAUAACUUCGGGAAACCGGAGCUAAUACCGGAUAAUAUUUCGAACCGCAUGGUUCGAUAGUGAAAGAUGGCUUUGCUAUCACUUAUAGAUGGACCUGCGCCGUAUUAGCUAGUUGGUAAGGUAACGGCUUACCAAGGCAACGAUACGUAGCCGACCUGAGAGGGUGAUCGGCCACACUGGAACUGAGACACGGUCCAGACUCCUACGGGAGGCAGCAGUAGGGAAUCUUCCGCAAUGGGCGAAAGCCUGACGGAGCAACGCCGCGUGAGUGAUGAAGGUCUUCGGAUCGUAAAACUCUGUUAUUAGGGAAGAACAAACGUGUAAGUAACUGUGCACGUCUUGACGGUACCUAAUCAGAAAGCCACGGCUAACUACG
RNAcentral lists this ribosomal RNA (495 nucleotides) under uncultured bacterium. RNAcentral's name for it is "partial 16S ribosomal RNA". It matches the Rfam family "Bacterial small subunit ribosomal RNA", at positions 28 to 505 of the family's 1533-position model. The record is from RNAcentral.